RNAcentral lists this ribosomal RNA (474 nucleotides) under uncultured organism. RNAcentral describes it as "partial 16S ribosomal RNA". It matches the Rfam family "Bacterial small subunit ribosomal RNA", at positions 333 to 798 of the family's 1533-position model. The record is from RNAcentral.
UCACUCCUACGGGAGGCAGCAGUGGGGAAUAUUGCACAAUGGGCGCAAGCCUGAUGCAGCCAUGCCGCGUGUAUGAAGAAGGCCUUCGGGUUGUAAAGUACUUUCAGCGGGGAGGAAGGUGUUGAGGUUAAUAACCUCAGCAAUUGACGUUACCCGCAGAAGAAGCACCGGCUAACUCCGUGCCAGCAGCCGCGGUAAUACGGAGGGUGCAAGCGUUAAUCGGAAUUACUGGGCGUAAAGCGCACGCAGGCGGUCUGUCAAGUCGGAUGUGAAAUCCCCGGGCUCAACCUGGGAACUGCAUUCGAAACUGGCAGGCUAGAGUCUUGUAGAGGGGGGUAGAAUUCCAGGUGUAGCGGUGAAAUGCGUAGAGAUCUGGAGGAAUACCGGUGGCGAAGGCGGCCCCCUGGACAAAGACUGACGCUCAGGUGCGAAAGCGUGGGGAGCAAACAGGAUUAGAUACCCUUGUAGUCCCAU